Long non-coding RNA from Cavia porcellus (domestic guinea pig), 2527 nucleotides. The record is from Ensembl. Lineage: Eukaryota; Metazoa; Chordata; Mammalia; Rodentia; Caviidae.
AAUUUUGAAAUUGGGAAAUGCAAGUUUUAAGUUGGAAAAUUUAAUGUUUUUUUUUCAAAAUUGUUUUGUCAUUUUAGGUCUUUUGUAUUUCCAUAGAAAUUUGGUAUCAUCUGGUCAAAUUCUGCCAAAAGUCACUGAGGUUUUGAUAAAAUCAAUGAACCAAUCAGGGGAAAGUACCCUUCAUAAUAAUGUCAACUUUCUCCUCUGUGAAACUGGUGUCUGACUUUCUUUUGAAGGCUUGCCAGAAGAAUCUCGUCAUUGACUAAUCUACAAAGGUCUCCUUGGAGUUCUUGUGAUGCUGACCUGCCUGUGCAGUACACGGCUCACUUCUGCAAACCCAUGGUGGCGGUGGUGAUGGUGAUGAUGAUGAUGAGGCAGAUGAUGGUGAUAAAACAAGGGAGGCGGUGACAACAACACGAAGAGGUGAUGGGGAACUGGAUUGCAGGUAGCUCCAGAUUUGGCAGACCUGAGGUUGUUCGUCUCAUGAAGCUGCGGUGUUGAUUAUGACGGAAAACUUCAGAGGGCUCCAGAAGUCUGAUUCGGUUAAGCUGCUCCACGUGUGGGCCUUGUGCCUCUGGUGCUCCUGGCUCCCAUACGCAGGUCACUUGCCUUGCACUGCCUUGGGUGAAAGGAAACUUCCCUACGAGGCAGAACUGGGAUGGCACCAGCCUCUCUGGGCCUCAGAUGUACUGGGGCAGACACCCCUUGAAUAUCUACUUCAAAUCACCUUUCAUGUUUUAUUAUUGGAAAUAGACUCAUUUGAGGAUUACAUUAUUAUGUUUUGGAAAAAAUGGAAAUGAAUCAAGACAUGGAGAAUGCCAGCCUGGUUCAUGGUUCCACCUGUUCACCCAGGAUGUCUUCAAAUACUUGUGUUUCAGCAACCAGAAAUCAGCAAAGAUUCAACCUAUCCUUUUUGCCUCAGUUACUCCUUAAAUCAGUGCCACCCCUCCAAAUGAAUGUGAAUUGAAACAUGCAUUGCUUUUCAUUUGAGUGCUUACUGUGUGUGAGCCAGUGCAAAAAAUAGGAGAGAGAAAAUGAGGGAGACAAAUGCACAUGGAGCCUGCUUUUAAUGAAUUUGCUAUUAGUUUCAGCACGCAUAUUGUGUUCUUUUGUUUUUAAUUAGGUGUGUCCCUAUGACAAGAGAGCAGUGAAUGGAAAAGUGUGCUCUGUAAUUAUUGUAAGCCCCAUUAAUGAAAAACAAAAUAAAGUACAACAACAAUAACAACAACAAAACUCUAAUGUGAAAACCUCGGGACAUUUCAAUUCAUUUCUUUGUUGUUGUUCUUUAAGUUCUAAGAGAUAUGACCCAUUUUAUUUUGUAUUACUUUUGUGGUGCUGAGAUAGGACCCAUUUUAUUGAUUACAUAAAUAUUCUGCAGGUUUUAGAUACAUUAAUACAACAUAGUUUGAGUUAAUUUGAAUUAAAUUCUAGUGUUUUUCCUUUGGGUAUAGCUUGUAUGUUGGAAAAUAUAUUGAUUGUAUACUUCUUGGGGUUAGGAAGGUGAAUUACACCUGCUAUCUUUAUGGGCAUCUGCCUUCCCUGCCCCAGCACCCACUAUUCUGAGUGGGUGACUACCAAAAGGAGGGAGAUAGAUCUUGUUCAAUCUUGGGGGUGACAUUAAUGGGCCCAAUAUUGCUAAGAGAGGGGGUAGAGCACAGUUGGGCACUGAUUCUAUAUGAAAUUUGACUAAAUAUUUUUUUCAGUAUUCAUUGCAUGAUUCCUUUUAUUCCAUAGGUUGAGUGACUCCACAGUUUUUCUAAAAAAUUGUUUCUGAGCUGAGAAUAAGUUUAAGUCAUGAUUUUUCCAGUGUUAUGACAUUGAUUUGACUGAAGCCACUAGACAUUUUAUGUAGUGUCUGUGACACAUUUUAGUAUGUAUGAGCCAAUAAUAGACAAGUCUUUGUCUUGAGUAGUGUCCAUCUGAAUUGAAAAUGAACCAGCUUUUCUUUUUUAACAUCAUCAACAGACUUCUUAAUUAAGCUGCCAAUACACACUGCCAAUAACGCUGUGUGCUGUUUGAGAAAUGAAUAGCGUCAGUGCCGUUUCCAUCUUAUCAAAUAAACAAUGCUGCUGGGAUAGCAUGGAUUUUAAGUGUUCUUUGAAUGGCACUGCAGAUCGCACCCUACAUCAUUUGAUGAGCUUUUUCAUACCACCUCUUUUGACUCAAUUUGUGAUUUUUGUUUUUUAGUAAGGAAUAGCUCUAAUCUGACCAAUAACUUUGGUUAUCUGAUUCAACCUUAAUAGAACAAAUCACCCCACCAUCAAACUCCUGGUCAUGCUAUUUGUAUGCAUGUCAUUUCGGGUUGGUGAGAAGUAGCUUCCAGGAACUAUUAAUGAUCCACUGGUGUUAUACUAAAUUGUGGGUGUGUAUUGUGUAAGCAUUUGGUGGUCAUGAAGUACUUUUUUUACUUUUAUUUCUUAAGGCUCUGUAGAAGAAGUGCGACUUAGCACUUUCACUGGUUGGUAGUUUACAGUCAGUCUACUGAGAAGUCCAAAUAACUGGAAUUUUUAAUACAUUUGAGUUUCCU